This 253-nucleotide ribosomal RNA is filed under the name uncultured bacterium. RNAcentral's name for it is "partial 16S ribosomal RNA". It matches the Rfam family "Bacterial small subunit ribosomal RNA", at positions 524 to 776 of the family's 1533-position model. The record is from RNAcentral.
UACGUAGGGUGCGAGCGUUGUCCGGAAUUAUUGGGCGGAAAGAGCUCGUAGGCGGCUUGUCGCGUCGGAUGUGAAAUCCCGAGGCUCAACCUCGGGUCUGCAGUCGAUACGGGCGGACUGGAGUUCGGCAGGGGAGACUGGAAUUCCUGGUGUAGCGGUGAAAUGCGCAGAUAUCAGGAGGAACACCGGUGGCGAAGGCGGGUCUCUGGGCCGAUACUGACGCUGAGGUGCGAAAGCGUGGGGAGCAAACAGG